Molecule: long non-coding RNA, 1620 nt
Organism: Bubalus bubalis (water buffalo)
Lineage: Eukaryota; Metazoa; Chordata; Mammalia; Artiodactyla; Bovidae
Exons: 4
Source: RefSeq, a predicted model, not a curated record
CAGCCCUCGGGGCCGGCCCUGGCGCACCUUUUCUCCCCGCUGCCACAUUGUGAGCUCUUCGCCUCCCACACAACCGCCGACUCCCGCUCCACCCCCGCCUCCCCUACUCCGCCCACUGCCGAGCGCCCAGAGUUUCUGAAAUGAUGCUGAAAUGGGGGUGAGUACAGAAAUGUAGAAACCAGCCAUCACAACAUGUCUAAACAACUUGGAUGUGAAAACUCAAGUCCCACCUAACAGCACCAGGCUGAACAAUAUGCUGCAGUGGAGAGUGGCUGCAGAUGACCAGGGAGUGACCUGGAAGUGAUCAUCUGCUUGAAGCCCUAACUGGCGGCAGGGCUGAGCCUCAGCCUGCAAACAAGCUGUACCUACGGUAGAAAAUGCUUCCUGUCCAAGUCUCAAUUUUUCAGCUGAGAAAUGGAUCAGAGACGAGCUGUACAGAGACAGGAGCUGUGGCCCCUUUGCAUCCUAUUGUAUCCCCCGCAUCUCCCCUGCUCUUGACUCAGAGAGCAGUGGACAAGCAAGUCGAGUGGAAUAUGUAGUGUCUCGUCUUGGUUAGAUUGUUGGAGGACUUUUCUGCAAAUUAUAGUGGUUAAGCACUGACUCAACGUCCAACAACUGCAUAAGAGCUUAGAGCCUUCGUUCAUGGACAAGUUUCAAAAUGAAACAUCGUCACCACCUCUCAUGGGCGGUGUAGUCAGAGAACAGAAGAGAGUGAAUUUCACCCUUAACAAAGUGGCUGCUUUCUGGAGAAGUGGCAGGAUCUGGUAUUUCCCAGCACGGUGAAAUUGGGAAGUGCCUUUUGCAGCCCUUCUCACUUUCAUGGUUUGUUUGGACAUGGAAUUCUUAAGCUCUUAAUUCCGUCCCUGCUUCCUGUGUCACUUCCCUAGGAGACUGAAUUCAAGGAGGGCGGGACCUCCUCCCCAGGGGCGGGGGGAGAACAGAAUGGGGACUGAUGCCUUUGGGCUCUUACCAUGUAGACAUCCUGUUGGCACAUUCUCCACUCCUCCCCAGCAAAGCAUGCUCUGCUCUGUGAAGAAUCCAGGCAGGAAGUAAAAGAGAUCUGUGCAGCCACAGUGGAAAUGCCCGGCCUCUCAGGAACCCCAGAUGGCCAUCCAGUCUGACCACACAUCCCAUUCUGUUUUCAUUAUUAGUGUCCGUCCUGUUUGUUCAUGGGCUCCCCCAGGACAGGAGGCAUAUCUGCCCUAGUCACCAUCAGAGCCAUCUUAGUACGUCACAGUGCCUGGUACAGAGUGGCUGUUAGUAAAUAUUUGUUGAAUAAAUCAACUAUGAAUGUGGAAGUGGUUCUCUUAAAGAGCUCUUUGCUCUUUCUCAGCUACUGAGUUACAAGACGAGUGUGCUGAUGGUGAGAAGGGACACCUUUGGGUUAUAAUAAAAGGAGCUAGAAAUGUGUGGGAGGGCUCCUAAGUGUUCCAGUUGUAUCUACUAAGCAACAAGGAACCUCUGCGACUUCUUUAGGUCACCAACAGGAGAUGGCGAGCCGGUGGGGGCUAUGUUAUUGUUGUUGUUCAGUCGCCCAGUUGUGCCUGACUCUUUGCAACCCCAUGGACUGUAGCACGCCAAGCCUCCCUGUCCCUUACCAUCUCCUGAAGUUUACCCAAG